RNAcentral lists this microRNA (23 nucleotides) under Cavia porcellus (domestic guinea pig). RNAcentral describes it as "cpo-miR-672-5p". Its record names the gene cpo-miR-672-5p. Lineage: Eukaryota; Metazoa; Chordata; Mammalia; Rodentia; Caviidae. The record is from miRBase by way of RNAcentral.
UGAGGUUGGUGUACUGUGUGUGG